This 394-nucleotide ribosomal RNA is filed under the name Staphylococcus aureus. RNAcentral describes it as "partial 23S ribosomal RNA". It matches the Rfam family "Bacterial large subunit ribosomal RNA", at positions 12 to 399 of the family's 2925-position model. Lineage: Bacteria; Bacillati; Bacillota; Bacilli; Caryophanales; Staphylococcaceae. The record is from RNAcentral.
UAAGGGCGCACGGUGGAUGCCUUGGCACUAGAAGCCGAUGAAGGACGUUACUAACGACGAUAUGCUUUGGGGAGCUGUAAGUAAGCUUUGAUCCAGAGAUUUCCGAAUGGGGAAACCCAGCAUGAGUUAUGUCAUGUUAUCGAUAUGUGAAUACAUAGCAUAUCAGAAGGCACACCCGGAGAACUGAAACAUCUUAGUACCCGGAGGAAGAGAAAGAAAAUUCGAUUCCCUUAGUAGCGGCGAGCGAAACGGGAAGAGCCCAAACCAACAAGCUUGCUUGUUGGGGUUGUAGGACACUCUAUACGGAGUUACAAAGGACGACAUUAGACGAAUCAUCUGGAAAGAUGAAUCAAAGAAGGUAAUAAUCCUGUAGUCGAAAAUGUUGUCUCUCUUG